CCAGCUCCAAUAGCGUAUAUUAAAGUUGUUGCAGUUAAAAAGCUCGUAGUUGGAUUUCUGGGAGGGCGCCAAUGUCCGCUUGUUCGCGUGCGCAGCGGCGCCCUUCCAUCCUUCUGUUAACGUUUCUUGGUAUUCAUUUACUGGUUUCGGGCUCAGAUAUUUUACCUUGAGAAAAUUAGAGUGUUCCAGGCAGGCUUGCGCCGGAAUACAUUAGCAUGGAAUAAUAGAAUAGGACUUUAGUCUCCUUUGUUGGUUUGAGGGACUGAAGUAAUGAUUAAUAGGGAUAGUUGGGGGCAUUAGUAUUUAAUUGUCAGAGGUGAAAUUCUCGGAUUUGUUAAAGACUAACUUAUGCGAAAGCAUUUGCCAAGGAUGUUUUCA
Molecule: ribosomal RNA, 378 nt
Filed under: Oxytrichidae sp.
Lineage: Eukaryota; Ciliophora; Spirotrichea; Sporadotrichida; Oxytrichidae
Also listed under: 1 other name
Description: SSU rRNA
Rfam family: Eukaryotic small subunit ribosomal RNA
Source: RNAcentral